This 73-nucleotide transfer RNA is filed under the name Trichonephila inaurata madagascariensis. RNAcentral describes it as "tRNA-Cys". It matches the Rfam family "tRNA". Rfam says of the family: Transfer RNA (tRNA) molecules are approximately 80 nucleotides in length. Their secondary structure includes four short double-helical elements and three loops (D, anti-codon, and T loops). The record is from RNAcentral. Lineage: Eukaryota; Metazoa; Arthropoda; Arachnida; Araneae; Nephilidae.
GGGGUGUAUAGCUCAGUGGCCGAGCAUUCGACUGCAGAUCGGAAGGUCCCCUGUUCAAACAUGGGUGCCCCCA